UAGAGUAUGAUAGAGGAAAGCAGAAUUUCUAGUGUAGAGGUGAAAUUCGUAGAUAUUAGAAAGAAUACCAAUUGCGAAGGCAGCUUUCUGGAUCAUUACUGACACUGAGGAACGAAAGCAUGGGUAGCGAAGAGGAUUAGAUACCCUCGUAGUCCAUGCCGUAAACGAUGUGUGUUAGACGUUGGAAAUUUAUUUUCAGUGUCGCAGGGAAACCGAUAAACACACCGCCUGGGGAGUACGACCGCAAGGUUAAAACUCAAAUGAAUUGACGGGGACCCGCACAAGUAGUGGAGCAUGUGGUUUAAUUCGAAGAUACGCGCAGAACCUUACCAACACUUGACAUGUUCGUCGCGACUCUAAGAGAUUAGAGUUUUCGGUUCGGCCGGACGAAACACAGGUGCUGCAUGGCUGUCGUCAGCUCGUGUCGUGAGAUGUUGGGUUAAGUCCCGCAACGAGCGCAACCCUCACUUUUAGUUGCCAUCAUUAAGUUGGGCACUCUGAAAGAACUGCCAGUGAUAAGCUGGAGGAAGGUGGGGAUGACGUCAAGUCCUCAUGGCCCUUACGUGUUGGGCUACACACGUGCUACAAUGGCAUCUACAACAGGAAGCAAAACGGCAACGUUAAGCAAAUCCCGAAAAGAUGCCUCAGUUCGGAUUGCACUCUGCAACUCGAGUGCAUGAAGCUGGAAUUACUAGUAAUCGUGGAUCAGCGUGCCACGGUGAAUGCGUUCCCGGGUCUUGUACACACCGCCCGUCACACCAUGGGAGUUGGUUCUACCUUAAGGCAAGGUUUUAAACCCUUGACCACGGUAUAGUCAGCGACUGGGGUGAAGUCGUAACAAGGUAGCCGUA
This 851-nucleotide ribosomal RNA is filed under the name uncultured bacterium. RNAcentral describes it as "bacterial SSU rRNA". It matches the Rfam family "Bacterial small subunit ribosomal RNA", at positions 642 to 1504 of the family's 1533-position model. The record is from RNAcentral.